UGGUGUUCGGGUUGUCAUGCCAAUGGCACUGCCCGGUAGCUAAAUGCGGAAGAGAUAAGUGCUGAAAGCAUCUAAGCACGAAACUUGCCCCGAGAUGAGUUCUCCCUGACUCCUUGAGAGUCCUGAAGGAACGUUGAAGACGACGACGUUGAUAGGCCGGGGGUGUAAGCGCAGCGAUGCGUUGAGCUAACCGGUACUAAUGAACCGUGAGGCUUAACCUUACAACGCCGAAG
RNAcentral lists this ribosomal RNA (233 nucleotides) under Escherichia coli. RNAcentral's name for it is "partial 23S ribosomal RNA". It matches the Rfam family "Bacterial large subunit ribosomal RNA", at positions 2710 to 2925 of the family's 2925-position model. Lineage: Bacteria; Pseudomonadati; Pseudomonadota; Gammaproteobacteria; Enterobacterales; Enterobacteriaceae. The record is from RNAcentral.